RNAcentral lists this ribosomal RNA (473 nucleotides) under uncultured bacterium. RNAcentral's name for it is "partial 16S ribosomal RNA". It matches the Rfam family "Bacterial small subunit ribosomal RNA", at positions 28 to 507 of the family's 1533-position model. The record is from RNAcentral.
GAUCAACGCUGGCGGCGCACAUAAGACAUGCAAGUUGAACGGACUUAAUCGAAAUAUUUAUAUUUUGAAGCGGUUAGUGGCGGACUGGUGAGUAACGCGUAAGGAACCUGCCUAUUAGAGGGGAAUAACAGUGAGAAAUCAUUGCUAAUACCGCAUAUGCCAUAGAUAUCACAUGAUAACAGUGGGAAAGGAGCAAUCCGCUAAUAGAUGGCCUUGCGUCUGAUUAGAUAGUUGGUGGGGUAACGGCCUACCAAGUCGACGAUCAGUAGCCGGACUGAGAGGUUGAACGGCCACAUGGGGACUGAGAUACGGCCCAGACUCCUACGGGAGGCAGCAGUCGGGAAUAUUGCGCAAUGGAGGAAACUCUGACGCAGUGACGCCGCGUAUAGGAAGAAGGUUUUCGGAUUGUAAACUAUUGUCGUUAGGGAAGAGAAAGGACAGUACCUAAGGAGGAAGCUCCGGCUAACUACGUG